Pelobates cultripes (western spadefoot toad) is the source of this 285-nucleotide non-coding RNA. The record is from the annotation of a GenBank genome assembly. Lineage: Eukaryota; Metazoa; Chordata; Amphibia; Anura; Pelobatidae.
GUCUGAUAAACAGUCACUAAAGGCAACCUUAACUCUGCAAUUUAAACAUUUGAGCAGUGAACCCCGACCACUUCAAUGGGAUGAAAUGAUCUAUGUGCUCAAAGUGGUCAUUAAGGGGAAAAUAAUUGCUAUCUGGUUGACCUGUUGACAUUCAUACAUCUAUUUCAUCUCAUGGAUUAACAUGAUGUCUACACAACCCUUCAAUUGUAUUAUGCAAUAAUUCACAGUUCCAAAUUAUGUAAAACAGACAUUAAUAAGCACGGUGAAUUAGCAUGUCCUUCUAGC